Non-coding RNA from Peromyscus maniculatus bairdii (prairie deer mouse), 926 nucleotides. The record is from RefSeq and is a predicted model, not a curated record. NCBI's taxonomy places the organism in Eukaryota, Metazoa, Chordata, Mammalia, Rodentia, Cricetidae.
CAUGCCUGGGCACAGACUUAGGUGAACGUUUACUGUGCCUCUGCGUCACGAGAAAGCAAGUGCCCAACAGUGUCAUGACUUCACUGCCCACAGUCAACAUGGCAGCUGGGGGAACGGGGACAGAGAGCUGCCUCACCAGGUCUGGCCUCCAAGAGUCUGCACACUCAACCCUGGAUAAAUACUAAUAUCCCCAUCUGACAGACGCGGAAACUGAGGCUCGGAGCUGCAAACAGCCUAGCAAAGGUCAUGGGUCCACAGAACGACUUCGGUUUGCCCCAGACUGACCAGCACGAGCUAGGAAUGCAAAUCCGGUGUCCAAGGCUCACCAGGCUGCCUCAGACCCAGCCAGCUGACACUCAAGCCCCAGCUACAGUUCACCCUCCCCUGUGGGCCCUAACUCACAGAAGGGCCAGCCGCCCCUCCUGCUCUCCAGCUGUGCUCAUCCCCUCCCCAAGUCCACUCCAAAGUGUCCUGGCGGGGGCCGACAGGGGACUCCCUCUUGCUGCCCCCCCCUCCCCGUGAAGAGAAGGGAUGGUCAAGAGCCCUGCCUGACUACUGCUCAGUCGUCCCCACAGUGCAGAAACAAAUAAAAACUGGAAUUAUCUCCACUUCAGAGACACCAAGAGCCCGAGAGGACCAGUGGUCCAUCCACACAGGGAAGAGCCGGGCAGGCCUGGGCCACACACUCUGCCUGGGUGCCUGCUCCAUCGGCCCGCCGUCCAGGACACCCUCUGGGCCAGGCCCAAUCCUGGGUCUCCCAGAGGAAGUUCCUUCCUGUCCCAGCCUCCCCAGCCUGCAGCCGCAGCCCCUCAGCCUCGCGCACUGAUUGCUGGAGACAAGCGCUUGGGCCCUUUCAUCUCCGCUCCGAGCGCGGCCAGACCUGCCUAGUCACAGCAGUGUCCAGGAAUAAAUGUGUUUGGAUAAGA